CAAGCUUCUUUAGAUCUUUAAUUUUGUCCAACCACUUUGCUCCAUGCAUGUGAUAUCCAUUCCAUGCCAAAACUGCUCCAAAAGGCACCAAAAUGCACUUUUUUUGCCUCUUUAACCCUUUGUACCUACAACCACAUGAAAAUGGCUUGAAAUACUAAAUCAACUAAGAAAUAACAACAUAAAUGCACAAGAACAAGCUAACUAAGUCGUAUAAAUAUUCUCCUAUCAGAGGUAUAUACUUUAGAUGUCUUACUCAUCAAUUUACAUUCUUGAAUUCUUUGAAACCUUUUGCAAAGUAUUCGGACUUGUGUUUAUUCAAAAUAAACGAUAGUCCAACCGAGAGCAAUCUUUGGUGAAUGUCAUACAUAUUAUGUUGUGGACAAGUGCCACAAACAUCUAAGUGAAUUAACCUUAACAACUUUGUGAUUCUUUUUUCCUUACCAAAAGAAUAAAGAUUCAAACAUUUUGCCUCUAUACAAUUUUAACAAGAAGGCAUUGGAUCCGGAUCUAAUGAUCCAAAGCAUUCAUCUAUGACAAACUCGUAAUUUAUGUUUUAAAGGUAUCGCAACUCAGUUGGGAUUAGUCACUACCUUGCAACCUUUUGGGUUUUAAGCAUCGUUAUAUUCUAAACAGUUAACACUACCAUAUCAUCUCUACUAUAGAGAUAAUUAAUUAGAUUACAAUAAUCUAAUCAUUCAUUAAUAAAGAACAAUAUUUUGUCAAACAAAACAUUCAUCCAUUUCUCAUACGGAAUUAAGUU
This 760-nucleotide long non-coding RNA is filed under the name Malus domestica (apple). RNAcentral's name for it is "long non-coding RNA (MDOM_LNC018045)". The record is from RNAcentral. Lineage: Eukaryota; Viridiplantae; Streptophyta; Magnoliopsida; Rosales; Rosaceae.